GUUUGAUCAUGGCUCACGACGAACGCUGGCGGCGUGCCUAACACAUGCAAGUCCAGCGAUGAAACCCUUCGGGGUGGAUUAGCGGCGGACGGGUGAGUAACACGUGGGUAACCUGCCUCAAAGAGGGGGAUAGCCUCCCGAAAGGGAGAUUAAUACCGCAUAACAUUAUUUCUUCGCAUGAAGAGAUAAUCAAAGGAGUAAUCCGCUUUGAGAUGGACCCGCGGCGCAUUAGCUAGUUGGUGAGGUAAUGGCUCACCAAGGCAACGAUGCGUAGCCGACCUGAGAGGGUGAUCGGCCACAUUGGAACUGAGAUACGGUCCAGACUCCUACGGGAGGCAGCAGUGGGGAAUAUUGCGCAAUGGGGGAAACCCUGACGCAGCAACGCCGCGUGGGUGAAGAAGGCCUUCGGGUUGUAAAGCUCUGUCUUCUGGGACGAUAAUGACGGUACCAGAGGAGGAAGCCACGGCUAACUACGUGCCAGCAGCCGCGGUAC
This 493-nucleotide ribosomal RNA is filed under the name uncultured Clostridium sp. RNAcentral describes it as "bacterial SSU rRNA". It matches the Rfam family "Bacterial small subunit ribosomal RNA", at positions 11 to 523 of the family's 1533-position model. The record is from RNAcentral. Lineage: Bacteria; Bacillati; Bacillota; Clostridia; Eubacteriales; Clostridiaceae.